This 493-nucleotide ribosomal RNA is filed under the name uncultured bacterium. RNAcentral's name for it is "partial 16S ribosomal RNA". It matches the Rfam family "Bacterial small subunit ribosomal RNA", at positions 28 to 507 of the family's 1533-position model. The record is from RNAcentral.
GACGAACGCUGGCGGUGUGCUUAACACAUGCAAGUGGUGCGACGAACCAGAGCUUGCUCUGGGGCAAAGCCGCGAACGGGUGAGUAACACGUGGGUAAUCUACCCCGAUGACCGGGACAACCCGAGGAAACUCGGGCUAAUACCGGAUGUGAUGCGGAGACAUAAGUCUCUUCACUAAAGGUAGCUUCGGCUUCCGCAUUGGGAGGGGCCCGCGGCCCAUUAGCUUGUUGGUGGGGUCAAGGCCUACCAAGGCAACGAUGGGUAGCUGGUCUGAGAGGACGAUCAGCCACACUGGGACUGAGACACGGCCCAGACUCCUACGGGAGGCAGCAGUGGGGAAUCUUGCGCAAUGCGCGAAAGCGUGACGCAGCAACACCGCGUGAGGGAAGAAGGCCUUAGGGUUGUAAACCUCUUUCAGAUGGGACGAAGGUUCUCCGGUGAAUAGCCGAGAGGAUUGACGGUACCGUCAGAAGAAGCUCCGGCUAACUACGUG